CUGACUGCAAAGGCUUAGAAUAACGAGUGCAGCGUUGGUGAGUAAGGGUUGUUAUGGACUGACUGCAAAUGACUGCUAAAAGGAUGGUGGAUGUCACGGCGAACGCCCUCUCUCAUCAGGAAAUAGGCGGAGCCAACUAUCGCCCACCUGCGCGCACCCGAGCAAAUCAAGGGGCGUGCGGCUCCAACUUAAGGGCAGGAGAGACUAGUUGUUGGAACCAGGAAAUCGCUAACGGGACGUGAGGAUUUGUUUCUCACGGAGGCAUUCCUGGAGCUGUGCAGGAUUUAAGACCAUUCAAAGACUGAAUAGAACAGCCGGUUUUUCACCUGUAAGCUGCUGUAAGCUGCUGUGAGCUACUGUAAGCUGCAAAUAUCUGGGCUGCCAAGAGAAAAAACUGAAUAAAAAAGAAAG
This is a long non-coding RNA of Pungitius pungitius (ninespine stickleback), 411 nucleotides long. RefSeq lists it as uncharacterized. Lineage: Eukaryota; Metazoa; Chordata; Actinopteri; Perciformes; Gasterosteidae. The transcript has 2 exons. The record is from RefSeq and is a predicted model, not a curated record.